UGCGGGAUAGAGCAGCUAGGAAGCUCACCGGCUCAUAACUCGGAGGCCGUGGGUGAAAAUCCUACUCCCGCUA
This 73-nucleotide transfer RNA is filed under the name Candidatus Tremblayella princeps. Its description in RNAcentral is "Candidatus Tremblaya princeps tRNA-Met(CAT)". It matches the Rfam family "tRNA". Rfam says of the family: Transfer RNA (tRNA) molecules are approximately 80 nucleotides in length. Their secondary structure includes four short double-helical elements and three loops (D, anti-codon, and T loops). Further hydrogen bonds mediate the characteristic L-shaped molecular structure. tRNAs have two regions of fundamental functional importance: the anti-codon, which is responsible for specific mRNA codon recognition, and the 3' end, to which the tRNAs corresponding amino acid is attached (by aminoacyl-tRNA synthetases). tRNAs cope with the degeneracy of the genetic code in two manners: having more than one tRNA (with a specific anti-codon) for a particular amino acid; and 'wobble' base-pairing, i.e. permitting non-standard base-pairing at the 3rd anti-codon position. The record is from RNAcentral. Lineage: Bacteria; Pseudomonadati; Pseudomonadota; Betaproteobacteria.